AGAGUUUGAUCCUGGCUCAGGAUGAACGCUGGCGGUGUGCCUAAGGCAUGCAAGUCGAACGCUCUAGCUUGCUAGAGAGUGGCAGACGGGUGAGUAACGCGUAGGAACCUACCCUUGAGAGGAGAAUAGCCCACCGAAAGGUGGAGUAAUACUCCAUGGUCCCUAAUAACGAGAGUUAUAUGGGUAAAGAUUUAUCGCUCAAGGAGGGGCCUGCGUCCUAUCAGGUAGUUGGUGGGGUAAUAGCCUACCAAGCCUAUGACGGGUAGCCGGUGUGAGAGCACGACCGGCCACAAGGUUACUGAGACACGGAGCCUACACCUACGGGUGGCAGCAACCAGGAAUAUUGCGCAAUGGACGAAAGUCUGACGCAGCGACACCGCGUGUGGGAUGAAGCUUUUCGGAGUGUAAACCACUGUGGCGAAGGAUGAAGUAAUGACAGUACUUCGCUAGAAAGCACCAGCUAACUACGUGCCAGAAGCUUCGGUAAUACGUAGGGUGCGAGCGUUAUCCGGAUUUACUGGGCGUAAAGGGUCCGUAGGCGACCUGAUAAGUUUCUUGUUUAAGCCCGAGGCUCAACUUCGGACAGGCAAGAAAAACUAUCAGGAUUGAGUUAGUUCGAGGUAGUUGGAAUUCUCGGUGGAGGGGUGAAAUCCGUAGAGAUCGAGAGGAACGCCGCCUGCGAAGGCAGACUACUAGGACUUAACUGACGCUGAUGGACGAAAGCUUGGGUAGCAAAAGGGAUUAGAGACCCCUGUAGUCCAAGCCGUAAACACUCCUUGCUAGUUGUUCCUGACUUCGGUCGGGAGUGACGUAAGCUAACGCGUUAAGCAAGGCGCCUGGGGAGUACAACCGCAAGGUUAAAACUCAAAGGAAUUGGCGGGGGAGCGUACAACCGGUGGAGCAUGUGGUUUAAUUCGAUACAAAGCGAAAAACAUUACCUGGGUUUGACAUCUAGCUGCAAAGCUUGGGAAACCAAGAAGUCUUCGAGAGUGCUAGACAGGUGAUGCAUGGCUGUCGUCAGCUCGUGUC
RNAcentral lists this ribosomal RNA (1029 nucleotides) under uncultured bacterium. Its description in RNAcentral is "bacterial SSU rRNA". It matches the Rfam family "Bacterial small subunit ribosomal RNA", at positions 8 to 1066 of the family's 1533-position model. The record is from RNAcentral.